CUUGCUUCUCCUUUGCCUUCUGCCAUGAUUUUAAGUUUCCCGAGGCCUCCCCAGCCAUGUGGAACUAUUUCCUCCUUCUUCACCCCUGAAACCAUAUCCAAAGAAGCCCCCAAACCAAAAGGAUGUUAUUAAAUUUCCAGAAUGGAAUGAUCUCCCACCAGGCACUUCACAAGAGAACAUCCCAGUGAGGCCAGUUGUGAUGAAUUCUGAGAUGUGGUACAAGCGUCACAGUAUUGCAAUUGGAGAGGUGCCAGCUUGCCGUCUUGUCCACCGCAGACAGCUGACAGAGGCCAAUGUAGAAGAGAU
RNAcentral lists this long non-coding RNA (306 nucleotides) under Homo sapiens (human). Its description in RNAcentral is "HSALNT0088444". Lineage: Eukaryota; Metazoa; Chordata; Mammalia; Primates; Hominidae. The record is from RNAcentral.